AGAGAGACCAGAGAGCCAGUCCAACCCAGUCCAUCACCUGGAGGCUGGAGAACCACGAGGCUGUUGCCUGUUCGUCCCCCUCUUCUGAGAGGUCCAGCCUUUAAAGUAUGGCCUUCUGAAAACCUGACCCUGGGAGACCUGGGAGCCUCAACUUUGUGCAGACUCCAAAUGAGACUCACCAUGAUGCGCCAGAAAUCUCACACCUCUAAUCCACAAAAGGGAGAAGCUUCAUGGUUUAAAUGCCAUUGUCUCUAAGAGACUGAAAUCACUGGAUCUGUGGCAAACCAGGGCAGGGUGGCCUUUGCCACAAUGUACCUGGACUGAAUUUGUGGAGAUCAAUUUGGUGUUGGACUUUGUGAUGGUUUUAAUAUUCCUCCCUUCCCUUGAGUGUGGACUGGAUUUAUAGUAGUAAAUCUCUUCUAAUGACUAAAAUGAAGCAAAAGUGAGGGUCUGUGAGUUCCGAGAGUGGGUCAUAAAACAAAUGUGGCUUCCUCCUUGCCUUUUCUCUCAGGUCACCUGCUCUGGGAGAAGCCAGUUGCCAUGUUGUAAGGACACUCAAGCAGCCCAUGGAAUGACUCACAUGCUGAAGAACUGAGCCCUCCCUCCUUCCAACAGCCAGGGAGGAACUAGGGCUUCUUGCCAAUAACCAUGUGAAGAAGCUUGGAAAUGGAUUCUCCCCCAAAUGAGUCUUCAGAUUACUUUAGACUAACAUCUUGACUGCAACCUCUAGAAAGACCCUGAGCCAGGAUCACCAAGCUCACAGAAGCUAAGAGUUAAUAAAUGUUUGAAUUAA
RNAcentral lists this long non-coding RNA (793 nucleotides) under Homo sapiens (human). RNAcentral describes it as "C2orf74 antisense RNA 1, transcript variant 2 (C2orf74-AS1)". The record is from RNAcentral. Lineage: Eukaryota; Metazoa; Chordata; Mammalia; Primates; Hominidae.